CAUUGUUUAUUACAAUAUUGUAGCUAGAGAACUAACUAAAGGAACUUCUGCCAUUAUUACUAUUAGCAACAAAAAAAGGAACUUCUGCCAUCAGAGUGAGAUAAAACUACGACCGAAAAUAUUACAUAUCCCUUUCUCUUCCAACACUUUUGAUGAAUUGAAUGAUGAUAAAUAUGUAACUUAUAUAUAACACUACGGUGUAUAAAAUUUAAAUUUCUUUCGUAUAAAUUGUAACAAAAAUGUUGACACAAAAGUAGUCACAUAAUAGAGAACGUGAAAUUCUUCGAUCAACAGCAUUAGUGAGGACUGAGGUGCAACCGAGCACAUCUACAAAAGCUGUAUGAUUGAUAUUUGCAUGAACACUAGCAUCAACGCUUAUUCAAUACAUGGAUAUCUCAUCUUCAUCAACGAAAUGAACCUUUACACUCACAUUAUAUGAACAAAAAAGAAUGAGAGAACAAUACACAUCUUAGCAUCUUUUUCUUUUUUUCAGAAAUCUUAUCAACUAGUCCAUAUGUACAAAUAACUAAUAAAUUUGGCAGCCACAUUGUACUAAUACAAGCAGUUAUGGAUCAAGCUGAUACUCGGGCUUGUCAAAAUCGCCAUUUUGAAAUGUGCUCCCCUCCACCCCAUUUUCAAGUUUCUGCAAUUCGUUCAUAACAAAUCAAUGACCAAAACAAGGGAAGAAAUCGGUAUACGAAAUUGAGAUCACAUCACGCAAUGCAUAUAAUUGUGUGGUUUGAUUUUGUCAAACAUACUAUAGACUUAGCGUCCGUUUGGAUUGAGCUUAUUUUGAGCUUAUGCAAAACAGCUUGUGUAAAUAAAUAAGCUUUUAUUUAUUAUUCAUGAGGUUUUUAAGGUAGUAUAUGAAAAAACAACUUAUGAAGAUAAAGUUUUCGUUAAUAAGAACUUAUGAAUUAAUAUAAAAUCUUAUUUAUUUGCAUAACCUAUUUUCCGUAAGCUCAAAAUAAGCUCAAUCCAAACGGGUAUCUUUUAAUUAUGCAUUACAGUACACAAAUGAGACGUGAAAAUGAUAGUUAUGGCCAGCAUUUAUCCAUCAUAAAAACAAUAAUAUAAUAAAAUAAAAAAUUAUCACCCAAGAAAGAAAGAAAAAAAACGCAGUUACACAAUUUGAUUAAAAGUUGCAUUGCUUGUCUGUACAUAGACAUACACAAACAGAAAAGGAGAGAAUCAGAUGCGUACUUCUGAGUGUAGAUCAACUGGAAACAAAGUUAUGGCUUCUGCAUUGAACGUGAAUCCACUGAAGGUGACACAAAAUUUGCAUUAGUAACAUGCAGAGUGAAAAAAAUAUAGCGGAAAAGGGAAAGAAAAAAAAAAAAAACAUUGGUAGAAGAGAACAUAUAAAAGUUGAAAUAAAUAAUAGUAUAAUUAAUUCCCCUAAACCUAGUGUAUCUCAAGCCUCAAUACUCUUGAUUGAGCUGUUAAGUGUAAAAUAUUGACUAGCAGCCUCAAGACUAUGUGAAUAAGAAGCUCAAAGAAGCAUACCAGUGGGAUAAUACAAGCUGCCAGACAUAUGGGAUAAAAAACUCCUCGGGGUGUCUCUCUUGUUCAUACAUGAAGCGCAGUUGAGUAAACAUCUGCCAAAAAAAAAUACAGCCACAUUAGAAGCAGGAAAAAUAAUCCUCUUAAAUUCUUAAUGAUAUACUCCAUACUGGAAGCGCACCACAAAGCACAAUAUUUUUUUCCAUAUUACCUUCAUUCCAUCACCCCUCCAAGAACGACAAUUGACAAUUAUCACUUGGAGCACUUCGCUGACUGACCAGUCACCAUCAACUCUUUGAGCAUCCAUACGAGUAUUGAAAAAAUCUAAUACCUGCAAAUAUUCAAUAGAUACAUUUUUCAAUGACACAAAAAAAAUGAUGUAAAAAAGAUAGCGCAAAACAUGCUCUAUAAGAAUUUGCAAGGUUUAAUAGGGUGAGCAGAUAUUGUAACUUCAACUUAAAUAUAAUAUAUUAAACAUACGGUAUAAAUGUUUUCAAGUAGUUCAUGGAAGCGUGGGUGACUCUUGUAUGGCUGAAAGACUUCCUGCCUGUGCAUUACUGCAUACACUACCUGCUCCAAUCACAUAAAGCAAUACCAUAACGUAAAUUUUGACUGUUUUGGACUAGACAAAAACAGGUGAAAUAAAUCUUCAAUUAAUCAAGUAGAAAAUCAAAUCAAACCUCAGGAUUCCGAGGCAGUGCAUAAGUCAGGAUUGCAUUUAUUAUUUCUAGUACAAGCCUCAAGAAGUCGGUGUAAAUCUGCAUUUCAGUUGACUGCACCAAAAGAAUACUCAAUUUAGAAAAAGAAGUGGUCUAAAGAUUGUGAUCAAUAGUGUCACAAAAGCACCAAGAUGGUAUAUAUAUUAUAUACCACAUCCUCUACAAAGCUGUUUCCUUCAAUUGAGUUGUCUUUUGCAAUAUGAAGCUUAUUAUCUCUGCGAUCAGCUAAUUUGUUAUACCUGAUGAGAAGCAAGAAUAGUGACAAAUUUUUAAACCAGAGAUAACAAGCUCUAAAAGGUAUAAAUUUGAAUGGUACAUUACAAAGGUAAAGAAAGAACGGAAACAUACUUGCGUGAGAGCAUAUCGAAAAGGCUGACUAGUCUCUGAGAUGCAUAUGCACUCAAACGAUGAACAUGAGGUGCCAUGUUAGCCAAAGUUGCCAGACAUGUUGUGUGGAGAUAGACAUCCUAUCAUUUUUUUACAUAAAAGAAUGGUUAGCGGAAGAAAUCUAUACAAAAACAUUUUAAUAGUUCAAUCCACAUAAACUACUUGCGUAAACAAGGAUCAGAAACAUUUCUAACAUUGAAACAUGGCAAUUCUACGAGUAUCCAUUGGCAUAUGAAUGAUAUGAUAUAUCUAAUCACUGUUUUCAGUAGAUAUAGGAUAACAGAUCUGAAGUCUCAAUGCCUUCCUUUCACCCAGCUCCCAGACUUUCCCAAAUGUAAAUUUUCUGUCAGUCUUUCCUUAAAAGAGAUACCAAUUUUCUUCAUCAAAGCUACUUCUAGUACACAAUACCCUAAUCCUAUUAGAUCAGACCAACAAAAUAUAGCAUUAGACCAAGUAGGCAAACUAAUGCAAACUUAAAGCUUACAUAGUUGACUGAAAAUUACAUUAUCAAGAUAGAGUCCUUGAAACUUGAAUUUAAGAUGUUGAAAAUAUGUUCACAGAAAAACAUAAAUCCUUACACUUCUAAAAUAGCACUAGAAUUUCAAGACAGGAUCCCAUUUUAUUGGACCAAGGUUAUUACAGUAAACCAUGUUACGCAAACAGAACAAAGUAUCAGAAGAGAUUUCAAUAUUGGGCCUUUUGGGUAAAAACCAUCAAGUGAACUCAAACAGGACAAAGUAUUUCCCAUAAAACAUAAAAGUCAAUAGCAUCAAUCAGUUCAUAUAUUCCACCAAUAAAUACUGAUAAUAGUAGCACACCUCUCAGUAAUAACUAAUAAGCAUAUUAAUUGGCCAUUGGAUUAGAUUUUGCAUUAUAUAUAUAAUCAAGUAGAAAAGGGAAAUGUAGAAAUUAGAUACAAGAGAGUAAAUUAAUAAUGUAACAAAGUUUUAAGAAUCAUACCCGUAGUUUAGACAAAUUAUACUGUACAGUUCUGAUAAGAAUUAUGACCAUAAGAGAACCAAGAUUAGUCUGAUGGAGAAGACGUUCUUUGUACCAUGGAACACCCGUCAAUAUCUGUCCAUUUAUAUACCAAAUUAACCUUUAACACAAUCGGUGCAGUUUCAGGCAUAUUCUAAUGGUGAAAGACAACUCUUACCAGCUUAUGAAUGCUUGCAUUGAAAGAAGAAUCUUGACUAAGUAUAAGACAUAUAAUCAGCAACAUGUAUAUUUGAUUAGGUGUCCUACUUUGAGCAUUGUAUAGAGCUUCCAAAAUCGGCAUUAACUGUUAAUGUCAUAAGAUAAAUCUUGUUCAAAAAAUGUCAUAAGAUAAACAAGAAACGGAGUAAAACUCAAUCUUUAGUCAUUCUAGAUGUUAUCGGUCAAAUCCAUAUCAUUUACAAUGACUUAAAGCAAGUGUGUAUCGUUUGACAGAUCUAAGGGAAAAUGAGUGUUGAUUUCUACGACAAAUAAGUGAAUAAUGGUGGCAAGUGUUUGUUUAAGAAAUAAAAGGGGUAUAUAUGUCAUUUCAAGAUAUCUCAAGGGAGAUGGAUGAUAUUUCACCAAUAAACUAUAAUAAAUUCUUUUUCCAAAAAAAAACUAUAAUAAAUUCAUUCCAUUAUCUUUCAUAAGAGAAAUUCAAGUUUGCUGUCCCGUACCAAUGUAUCUAUAUCAGUCCGCACCAAGACAUACUCCAAAAAGGCAGAAUUUCCUUGCAACAACGAGUAAAGCAGUAGGACUGCUGCCUCAUCAGCUAAGCACCUGUAGAGGAAUAAAAGUUGCCAGGUGCUUUAAAAACAACAAAUGUUAAAAAUCAUCAUGAGUAUAACAUACAAUUACAAACAUGUUAAUUCUAUUUUGCGGACUUUGACUCUAUUAAUAAAAGCAUAUGUGAGCAUUGUACGGAUGUAGUAUAUUAAUUGUCAAACACAUAUACAAGCAGAAAGAUACUCACAUGCCAAGUGUAUCAAACAAAGAAGCAAAAGGCAACUUUAUGUGUCGGCCACUAUGUGCAUUGCCCUCGAUGUCUACACGAUCCACUGCAUUUUAAGACUGAUCAAAAUUUGCUAGCAUUCUCAAUCAAUUAAAACGGUAUAGAUAGAUAUGUAAAAUGUAUUACAUUCACAAUCAAUUGCUUGCUCUAAGGCCUUGCAGUAUGAGUUGUCGGAAAAUUGGGGAUUUUCUUUGAUUAAUGAAUCUGAAGCUGAAGAUUUGUUAUUCUCAAUGGCAGAGUAGUCCUCACUCACAGCACAUUUAUGAUAAUGAAUGAGAAUAAGAAGCACGUGAAGACUGCUAUCCGCUAUUGGGUUUCUUGACCCUUCACCGCUAGAACUGACCAAAUAACUGAAUGGCAAUAAAACAAUAUUUGCUGCAAGGCAAUAAAUCAAAAAAUAAACCUGUCAAAUAAGUUCUAACUUUCCAAACAAAAAUUUCGAAGCAAUUAAAACAACAACAACAACAACAACAACAAUAAUAAUAAUAAUAAUAAUAAAAAGGCAUACUUGACUUAAAAAAAUUCAUGAUAUUAAAUAGAAAAACAUAUCCAGUCACCAGUUCGUACCAGCUGCAGAACCAACUCUCUGUAGCACACUACUCUGACUUCCGUCAUAAAAGAUGGGAUAAGUUGCCCGAUUGAAUGGAACCCUAGGACGGGUAAUGAAAUUUAGAAGCAAUUUGCGAACAACUAAACCAACCAGAUCACUGUCCUGCAAAAACAAUAAUGCACUAACCUGUUAUUUACUAUCUGCAAAUACAGAAUAACUCAAUGACCAACGGUUGAUGUUAAAGUCUCAGCUUCUAACCUGAGCCAUUGCUGCAUCAAGAAAUGGAUUCACAUCAUUUGGUCCAGGAGAUGAACCACAUAGAAGCUGAGUUGACAUUGUAAUAAUCAAGAAAUUAAGCAGUUCUAGAUGUAGAAGAAAUGUGUUUGGACUACAAUAAUAAUAGAAAAGGGAAAAAUUGUCAGGAGAGAAAGUUCACGCAAUAACUCUGAUAAUUAACCGGUCAAGUUGCCUAUGAGUUGUAAUAUACCUCACUUCUACUGAUGCUAUAAAGUUCAGUACAUUCCUCAUAACAAGAUUUUCAAUGGUUUUAUCUGUAUGAAAUUUAAAAAAAAAAAAAAAAAAAAAAUAUUAAGAAAUCUGAAAAACACUGGAAAUACACACAUAUAAACCAAAAGAUACUUCAAAGGAGAAAAGAAGGAAAGAAAAAAAAAAAAAAAAACGAAUUACAUGAAACAUAAAGAAUUUCCAAUUCAAACAUGAGAAAGAAAUUAUGCAUAUAUCACAUCACAUCAAAUGCAAUAAGGUUCAGCAUGUUACCCAAGUAGAUGCCAAAAUUCGGCUCAAGCACUUUACAUGAAUAUUAUGCUAAUACACCGCCCAGAAUCAUAAAUGCAACUGAUAGGGAAUUGGGUAUUAGGGGGCACUCAAGUCCCACAUCGAGUAGUAUGCGAUGCUCGGUAGAGUAUUUAUUUAAGUGAUUUGGUUCUUCCCCCUUUAUAGCUAGGUUUUAAGGAAGGGUUCCCCAAGUCCUUGGAUACUUAUCAGCAACAAAGUUCAAUGACAAUGAUAUGUAUGUAUGGUUUUGCAGAUCUUAAGUCUAAAGAGAAAACAACAGUUCAAUGACAAUGAUAUGUAUGUAUGGUUUUGCAGAUCUUAAUUCUAAAGAGAAAACAACAAUAAUUAUAGCGUGUUUGGUUUUGCAUGGGAAAUCUCCCAAGUUCAUGGUUCUAACUUCUAAUCUAAAGAUCCCGAAAGUAAAAUCUGACACGCGCUUAUAUACAUACCUCCCAAAACAUCCUUCAGUACAGCUUCAUCACCAUCGAAAGAUAGAUACAACUGCAUACCACUUUCAAUCAAGUGCUUCAAAAACACAGAACCGAUGUACACUGCAUUAGCAGCCUUUUCAUAAACCAAGGGCGGCACACCAGAAGUAGACAUGGACUCCUGCAAGUAGCAUGCUAGAUGGAACAAAAGCUUUGCAAGAUGCCUGGUUUGACAAUUGUUUUUCGCUGCAAAACAAUUCAAAAAAAUCCCAAAUCCAAAAUUCACAUAAGAAUUCGACACGAGAAGCAAAUUUACUCACCUUAAAAUCAUCAUAAUGAGCGCAUGAUAUCCCAUACAAAUCAGAGAGAUUAAAACUAAAAAUCAUCCAAAAUCACUUCAACAAUCUACCAUACAACUUCAAUUAAUCAAUUCUAUCAUAAUCCAAAUAUUUUGAAACAACAUGAAUAGCUCCUUGCCUCUUUAGCACCGACACUUGUGAUGGAAUGUGUGUCCGCUGUCCAACACAUACCAGUGUUCGACACCGAUACAUCAACACAUGUGAUUAAGUUCAAUUGAUUCAUCUUUUCAAUUUUUAAUGUGUCAGUGUCGUAUUUGGUAUCGGUGUUAGUGGUUCAUAGUUCCUUGCUAUUAAUAUCGUUUUGAGAUAAAACAAAAUCAUAUCACAACAUUCUAGUCGUAGAAUUCAAUAAAACUAAGCUAUAAACUAAUGCUAUUAUCAAAAAAUGGAACAAUUGAAGCUUCGUCAUGAAGAAGACUAACCCAAAAGCUCGCAAGCUUGUUGAACACGUUCAGCAGGCCAUUGAACAUUGAGAGGAAGCUCAAGCAAUUUCUGCCAAAACUCCGAUGAGAAAGGGAACGACUCAUCACCGACAAAAGUCCCGAUCAGAUACUCCGCCGUCUCCGGCGAGAAUUCACCACGCUUACGCGGCGUUGAAGACACCGAACCCAUUCAGAAAGGAAAAAAAACGGUUAUUUUCAACGAUAGUGUUGUUCAAAUCUCGUUGCGUCUGAUUUGGUGGGAGAUUCAAAUUUCAAAGCUGCAUUGUGUGAAAAUUCGCAGAAGAUGAAAAUGAUUUGAUCUAAACGCGAUUAUGGAGAUUGGUUUUGAAAAUCUCGAUGGUUCGUGAAGGGAAUGGAGAGAACAGAGAGAGUGUAACGAAGAAGAGAAGAAAAAGAAGAAGAGCGAGAAGGAGGCUUCUUCGAAACGAAGGUUUUGCAGAGAAAAAUGAAUUAAUUGUAAGGACUUGUUUGGAUCAGCGGUUAUUAUCAGUUAAUAAUAAUAAGGUUUUCGACGUCACCGAGUGGUAGAAGCCAAACAAGACAUAACUCGAAUUUCUUCUUAUAAAUCUAAAAUUUCUAUUUCUAAUUUUUUUAUUAGAAUGUGUGUAUAUGACAAGUAGAGAUGUGAUUAACACAAUAAUGAAAACGUCAUAUAUAAGAAUUAAAUGCUUUUUCAUUUUGUUUAAUUGGUAUGGGCAUGGCCUAGCUUUCGGACUUAUAUUUGAUUUUGAUGUAUGAAAAUUGUGACAGAUCCAUCACUUUGCAAAUGUAUAAUUAACUAAACUUUAUGUGCAUUUAGCCUAACGCUAACAAAAAUUCUAACAUGAUUUUCAACUUAAAUCCAAAUGGUAUGCCAAACAAGCAUACAUUUUUGUUCUUUUGUUAGGGUGUAGUGUAUAUGAAAAAAUAAAAUAAUAGCACAUUCUUUAUUUCUAAUUUUCUACAUAAUCUUGUGUCAAAUGUUAGUUAGAAGUAUACAAAAACAUUUGUAUGGAAUGCUAAAAAAUAUUUUCUAAUUUAAUUGGAGGUUUUUGGUUGAACUCAAGAUUGAAAAUUAACAAGUGUUAAAUUUUUUUAAUAGAGAAUUUUGUUAUCUUUUGUGAUCUGAAUUAACUUGUAUUUUUAAUCAACAAUCCAAACAAGACAAUUCAAAUUCCCUCAAUAAAUUUUCAUUUUGUGGAAAUUAAUUGGUAUGGCCUAGCUUUCGGACUUUUUUGAUAUGAAAAUGUGAUAGAUCUAUCACAUCGCAAUUGGACAAUUAACUAAAGAAUUGUACAUGAGGUUGUUAUAGUUAUGGGAAAAUAUAACUCAUACAGACAAUUUUAAUGAUGCAAAUGCAGUGUGCACUUAGCCUAACGCUUGACUAACAUAAUCCAUUAAUUGUCAAUCUAGAAUUUUUUAUUUAUUUUUUCUUUCCUGAUGCGUCUGAGUAUCGAAUAUACUAGUAUAGAACAUAACUUUUUUUUUGUUGGGAUAACAUAGCACAUAAUUUAAGUUCAAGUCCCUCUCAAAAACUUAAGUUUAAGUCGUAAGCUUGUUGAUGACAGAAAAAUAAAAGUCUUUGAGUCAAUUCGUGCGAAGGUGUUGUUCUCAAUUGCAUAUCAUUCCCCACUUAGUGACAAUUAGCCACAUACAAUUUAUAUAAUGUGCUUGGGCAAUUUCAAUCCCACCGACAUAAAAAUAAACACUUGUUCUCAUUAUUUGUUUUAUUUGAAAUUUUUAUCAUUAUUGAAAUAUUAAUAUACCCUAAUUUAUUACUCACUUUGGUCCUUUUUAUAAAAACAAUUAAUUUUUUAAUUUAUUGAAUAACUCACGUAUUUGGUCUAUAGUAUAUAGUACCAGAUAAAUCAAUUAUUCAAUAAAUCUAAAAUUUAAUUUUUUUUUACAAAAAAUUAAAAAAUAAUUGUUUCUUCUAAAAGGAUCUAAUGGAGUAAUUAUUUAAUAGUAUUCCUAUUUAAAUAAGUAGUUUAUAUGUUUUUUUGGCUCAAUUGAUAAGAACAUUGUAUUAUGUAAGGAUUGAAAUUCGAACCACAACUUUCUCACUUAUUCAUCUUAUAUUGUGAAUCUCUAGUCAAUUGAUUAUUUGACAAAAAAUAUGAUAUAUAGUUUAACUAACUUUAUAUACAUAUAAAGUUAGUUAAACUAUAUAAUCACUUGUGGUUUUGCAUGUUGGUGUGUCGAACAUGUGAAUUUGGAAGCUUCAUUCUUUUCACAUGUACACGGUCAAAAGUGCUUAAUAAAUCACUUGACUAGUUCGGAUGUGGCAAUCGAUGCCCGAUGUAGUCAUAUCUUAUGGCUCAAGCAAAUUCGGCUUGAGGUCAAUAUUUUUAUUUGGCAUUUGUUCUAUAAUAAAUUAGUGACUAGGACGAAUCUGUUUAGGAGAAAUAUCAUGGAUUAUAAUGAAUCUUUUUAUUCAAGCACUUGCGGAUUGGUUGAGGAUCAAGAACAUUUGUUAUUUUCUUGUGCUUUUAAUGGUCAACUUUGGCUUUUAUAUCGGGAUGGUUAGGUAUCUCAAUGACUCUUCAAGGUUUCUUAUUUGAGCAUUUUCUUCAGUUUGGAGGUUUUGGGAGUUUUUUAUUUCCAACAAGUCUCGUUUGACUUUUAAUAUUAUUUCAAUUUCAGCUCUUUUUACUAUUUAGAAGGAUCGCAAUAUGAGGCAUUUUCAUAAUAAAUUAGAACAGCUGCCAUCUUUAUCAGCAUUUUGGUGGUUUAAAUCUUAUUAUGUUGUUUUUUAUUUUAAGUAUUAAGUUUGGAGGUUAAAUCAUUUAUUAUGUUUUCAUAUUGUAACUAAUUUUAUUUUUCUUAGCUACUUUGUGGUAGCAUGUAGAUCGUCUUUUUAUGAUUUUUGAAUACUUUAACUUCCUUUAAUACAGUUAGUGCUAGAGGAGUUUGUGUUGGUUUUUUGAUAUAGUUUGUUCAGCUUCUUAAAAACAACUUUAUAUACAUAUAUAUUAGCCAACUAUAUACUACUACUAUUUUUAAUUUCUCUAAUUAAUAUGGAUAUUUUAGUUGUAACAUAUUAGCUUACUAUAAAAUUGCUAUAAAAAAAAAAAAGCUUACUAUAAAAUUAGCACAACUAGUAAUCCUAAUAAUAUUUAGAAUUGAGUUAAAAAAAAUUGGCAAAUUGUGUGCUAUAAUAAGACACAAAGGAGUAAUGACAAUAAUAUUGUAAUCAUCCCUAUUAUCCUUAUUUUUUGUUCAAGAAAGAGACACUCGUAAAAAUAAAUUCAUCACAUAGGGAAAAAUAAAUUCACCCAUCACAUCGUGGCCACACACUAUAUCAUUUCUACAUGAACUCACAAAAAUGUUAAAAUUAUUAAGUCGAAUAUCAUGAUUGGGUUUCGAACCCCGAUUCCUCUACUGAGUUUUUAAUGAUUUUAUCAUUUUGUUUAUCUAAAAGAAAAAAGAAAAAAAAGUUGACCGCAUAGCUUACACCCAUCACAUCGUGGAUUCCGGUCAGAAAGAGAUUUUAUUAAAUGACGGAAAAUUUGUGAUGCAUUCUCGAGAUAAGGUAUCACAAUAAAUAGCAUUGUUGAUCAUAUAAUGUUCAAUGAGAAGUCAAUGCCUUCACUGUUUAGAUGUUUAACUGUUACCUCAUUAGACAAUUGACAUAGGACUAAAACCUAACCUGAAAUAUCUAGACCGUUAAUUUUUGAACUGUUCGUAAAAAAAAAUUGAAUUGUUUCCACUGUAGUCUCGCCCAAGAGUAGACUUUAUUUUUGCCCCAGAUGUGAUUAUCAUUGUUGGUUGGUGUGCUUUAAUUUAUGCUACUAUCAUUAUUAAGAGCAAAGUAUUGUAUCAAAAAGCUAAGCCAUGAUACUGUAAUGGAUUCAAUAUUCUAUUACAGAGAACUAAGCAACGCAGGAGAAAUAAUCCUCAAUGCCUUCUUUCCCUUAUAUAUGCCUUGUUCACUCCUUGAUGUACACUUUUCAUCCAAUACUUGCCCACGUGUCUUUACUGCAAUGACAGUUUGCUAGCUUCAUUUGAUGACAUGGCAUUCUCUAUUUAAGAUCAUUACAGAUACUAUUGUAACUAACACGAUGAAAAUGUCUCAUCCUGAUCAAUGUUUUGUUGUGAGCAUUGUUCAAUUUGUCACUUGAUCUUUACGAGUUGAUGAUACAAAAAUUGAAUGAAAGCAAGUGUCACCAUCCUAGAACCGUGAUAUGUGAAAGGGGAGACAAAAGAGCAAUAAUGUUGUUGAAUGAUUCAGAUUUUUUCUUCAAUGAAACAAACAAAUGACUAAUACGUGGAGGAGGGGAUGAAAAAAAAUUAAAGUAGCGGAAAGAGAAUGUCUUAUUUUUCUUUUUUAAAUUAAGGAAACUAUAAAAUAUUUUCAUAAUUAAAUUAGAUGUGAUUGAAAUUUAUAUGAUCAUUCAACCAAUUUAAGAUUAUCAGAAUCUCAUUCUCUUGAUAAUCGGAGAAUUAAGAUUAAGAAAGUUUAUAAUGAAUCAUAGAAUUGGAAGAAUAGCUUUGAUAUUUAUGGCGUUGAUGAAUAUCUUUGUUCAAAUUGUACAACUCGUUCUCAAUUCGGAUUUAGAAAAGCAUGGGGUUGUCAAGAUAAACCAUCUUUAGUCGUACCGCCCUAUUUUUUUUGGCCACGUCCCAUCAUAUUCUAGUCACCAAUAUGGUUGUGCCACCCUCGCCAUUUUUCUCCCCUUGUCAAGCUCUAUCUCCUACACCCAACAGAUCAUUUGUCACAUAUUCACCGGAACUCUGCCACCUUCUAUCCUUUAGUUUGUCGUUUGUGGACCGCCUUUGGUCACAAAACCACCACCACCAAUCAACUCAUCUCCUUCUUCCAAGCAAACCCCUCAAUUUAUUUCAAGAUUUGAUCAAGUUGAUUUUUUAGACCACCGCCUUUAAAGGCCAUUUUGAGUGAGCACGAUUCUGGAUCAAGAAGAUGAACAUCAAUUCCUUGCUCACCUUCGUGAGGCCUGUCUAUUGGAUAACUUAUUUUUAUGUUAUAUGUAUCAACGCUAGUCACCAUUGUACAGUCGCAGGUAAAAAGCUUCGACCAUCUUUGUUCUUUCUUUUUGUUUUCAAAUGAACUUUCUCCAUUGGAGGAAGAGGGAAAUGAUUUGGUUUAUAGCGUGUGUCAUAAAUUUGGCAUAACUUAUUCAUAUCUAAUGGUGUAAAAAAAGUUUUUGCAUUGUGAAAGACCUAGUAAACUUGUACACCAUAGACGUUACCUCUUUUUAAAGCACCAAACCUAACGUUUUCAGUAUGAUGUUUCGUGAUGCUAUACACUACUUACUUCAAAUUAAACUUGAACAAUACACGAAAAGGCAAAAACCUUCUUUUAUAUCUUAAGAGACUAACAUUAGACAUGCUAUAUCUUUUCUUUUUGACAUUAAGGGAGCCUAAGAGAAAUAUUUUUCAUUGAUUAUACUUUUAAAUUAAAAAAUUAACGGAGCCUAAAAAUAAUGGACAACAUGGUGUGUGUUUUUUUUUUGACAAAAACACGGUGUUAAGCCCUCUUUGUAAUAAAAAAAAAAUGGACAACAAAUAAAUUAUAACAAGCAAUCAAAUUCUAUUAAAACAAGGCAGCAACAAGUCAACCGUAUUGUUGUGGCAUAACAAGAAGGAGUGUAAAUUUUAUGAUAUCAUAGAAGGUAAUCAUGCAAUUCAAGCAUCUUCUAUCUAUCAAAAAAAAAAAAAAAAGCAAUUCAAGCAUUUUUAAGAUAAUGUAAUUUACUCAAAAUGAAAAUGUAAUUUACUUAAAAUGAAUAGUGAAAACUGAAAUUAACGACUUCGCCUUUUUUUUUAGAUAUGCGAAAUGAUAAAUAAUCAUUGAUACUGACACACAUAUGCAGUGAUCGGGUUCGAAACUCCGAUCACGGCGUCUGAACUAACAAUGUUUGACAUUUCAGUAAUGUAUUUUCGGCACUUCAAUUUAAUUGGACUGCAUAAGCCUUAACUUAACACAUGUUAGAGAUUUUCUUCAUGAAAUUAACUUUUCAUUGCCCCAGUAGAAAAUUCAACGUCACACAAGUCAUAACAAAGUUGCAAAAUGAUACUAGUCAAAUGGUUGAUCUCCUAGGUAAUCGAUCUUGUCUCGUGCCAGCUACACUGUUCGUGUCAUACAUGACUUGUGCAAUCUUCUUAUCGCUUAAUCAAACUAUUGCAUUGCAGUAGUGGUAUGGAAUCCAACUCAAUUUUUGCGACACAACAAUCACACAAUUUUGAGCAAAUAAUAAGGUUUUUAAUGAAUCACGUUUUGUAAUUCUCCAAUUGCGUAUAACUACAUGAACAACUAAACACAAUUUCAAGAGUUUUAACGUUGCCUCUCAAGAAAGAAACUUGCGUCACUUAUCUAAUUAAGUUGAAAGAUACUUGUUCGCAUAUUCAAGUUGUUUUGGUUAAUAACAUGUUCUUCAAAACCUAGUAAUCGAAUUAAAGUGAUUAAUGAGUUAACCAGAAAACGUAUCGUUCGAAGAACUAAAGUUCGAUUUAUGUUAGAAUUAACUUUUGGACCUCUAGCCCUCUUCUCAACAAAUCAAAUAUUCUUCAACUAUUAAUGAAAUUAAAUAUUUUGUUAUGAUAUGGAAUUAUUUACUUGGAGUUUUUGUUUUUUUUGGUACAAAUUUGCUUGGAGAGUUAUGUAGAAGAAUCAUGAAUUGAUGGUUGAAAUAAGUUGUCCCUUUUGAAUACAGAUUAAGUAUUACUCUCUACAAUAUUUGACUUUUUCCCUAACUAAUUUUAUAGGAUUAUUAACAGAGACAGAGAAGAGGGGAUGUUAGGGCAAGAACGUAGAAAAGGACAAAAAUUGUGUGUGGAAAAAUAAGAAAUUAUGAGUACAAUGUAAAAGCCACCUUCUGUUCUGGCAACUUGUAGUUCUAGCCAUAAUUAAGAUGUGUUUGAAAUCUAAACUAGAUUCCAAGCUUGAAAUCAUAAGUUGAUUGAGACAAAUACAUCACAAAACACCAUACAUGAAAAAUUAGGACGAAAGAGACGCUUAGUCCAAGAACAAGAAAUCAAAUGCAAAUAAGAGCUUCUUUAAAUAAAAUAAAAAUGCAAAUAAGAUUUUCAUUCCUAAUCAUAAAAAAAAAAUAUAAAAAAAAUGUUUCUUCAUUUUAAAUUACCCUAACUGUUACCAAAGCAAAAGGGUUAUACUACAUUACACGAUCUCAAGACAUGUACCUCGCCCGUAUGAUACAUUGGAUUCUGGAUAUAUGGUAGUAUGAGUAAUUGUUAGGAAUUUGGAUCCUCAAGUGCUUGAGAAGUUCAUUUGGAGAGGGUAUGUAUACUUUUAUCAUACAAGAGUAAAUGAAUAGUGUUUAGACACGAUUUUUUUUAAUAAUAAAAACGAGAUUGAUAAAAAAUUAUUUAAUAUUUCGAAGACAAAUCAAUUUAUGUGUGCGAUUAAAUACUAUUCAUUUAAUUUUGUGACGAAGAUUAAUACAUAGAGAGAGAGAGAGAAAGAAAAACAAAAAUGGAUGGAUUGAAUAUUUUAAUCACAAAAUUAGUUUCUCUCGAUCUCUCUUAAAUGAAGGUAUUUGAGAGGAUCCAAACUCAACUAUUAGUAGGUAAUCAUAGAGUUAUUAAUUGAUGAUAUAAAAUUAUUGGUGGAAUUCAUUUGAAACUUUAUUUAGAGGUGAUGUGUUGGAGGGAUUGAGUGUUUAUUAGGUAUUAUUAUUAAAAAAUUAUAAAGGACUGUUUUGUACAUGUAAAACUCACUUAUGUCGUCAAAAAUGGGUAUCUCCUAUUUGGAUGCGCUUAUAUGGCUAGCAAAAGCUUCCACCCAAACUCAACAAAUGUGUUGACUAUGAAGCGGUAACACCGACAAGAAACCCUUGACACCAUUAAUAAUUUGAAAAGGUUGUAUAUUUAAAUGCAUGUCGGUGUAAACGAACAUCAAACACACCUUCAAUUUGAAAUGUCAGGGUUAUACGGUUAGCCAAUCAAAAUGUAGCCUUAAGAAACACAAGAGAUUAAAGUCAGCUUCCAUGCAUGCAUAUUCUUAGGUAUGUAUGUAACAAAAGAAAAUACAGUCACCUGCUAAAUCAUUAAUCAAUGAAGCAAACUAGAAGAAGUCAGGAAUGCAGCCAAGUUUUGAUAAAAGCUUCCUAUUUAGGAGGACUAGAGGCAAGAUAACCAAGUUGCUCAGCCAAUACAUCAACAUCUUCAAUAUCCACUUCAUCUUCAAUACCCUCUUUAAACAAAUCUUGCCAAAACACUUCAAUAUCGAUCUCUUUAUCUCUUACUUCAAGUUGAUUGAUUUGAUUGGAAUCUUCCUCAACAUCUUGAUGUGUUUCGAGUUUGACAAAAUUUAAGCACUCUUUAUCAACAUAUCCUAAUUCAUCACCUGCUUCAACAUUACUAGGCCCUUGAUCAAUAGUUCUCCUUCUCUUCUUAGAAAAAAUUUCCUCUAACUCUUUUCUCCAUUCCUUCUGCUGAACUAACUGUUGCAAGAAAUUAGGAUUUUGUAUUGCCCUUGCCAAGAAAUUCAUCAUCUGUUUUUGUUUUUGUUCACUUCUUUUAAGCCUUCCUUCCAUUGCUUCAAGGUGAGUUCUAGUAUUCUGUUGUUGUUGUCUAAGUUUCACCAACUCAACCAUUAGAACUUGUCUGUCGCGCCUCAACCGAUCCACUUCGAUUCCGUCUGAUCCAAACCUUCCCAGCUCAACACAUGACGGGUCUAGUGCUUGCAUUACUUGAGAUUGAUUUGCUUUUCUUCUUCUAAUGUUCUUCAAAAGGAUUUUUUGUCCUUUUAGAAACAUCUCAUUAGCAAAUUCCCACCUAUCUGCAUCAACCUUUUUAAACCCCUACAAUUUAAUUUCAAAUUUCUCCUUCAUUUUCAAAUCAAAAUGCAAUCCAUAAUUCCAUUCAAUGAAAACGAACACUAAUUAACAUUGACGUAGACAUAGAAGUAUGACAUGACACCGACACAUAGACAUCAUUAAUAAUUUUAAAUAAAAUAGAAUUAAUUGAAUAUAACCAAAGUAUCAGUGUCGUGUUGGAAUCGUGUCACAUAUAUAGUAGACAUUUUCUCGAUCAUGAGAAACAAACAAAAAUGUUUCUUCAUGAUGUCAUAUCUCCAACUAAUUAAAUAGAUGUUUAUUUAAUUUUGAGAGUAUUGUUUAAACAUUAAAUUGAUUCGAAGAAUUUAUCUAAAUUCUCUAAAAUCUUCCUCCAAUAAAUUUUUUUGACUUCCUUUAUUAGGUGAAAUUUGUAUUACCAUGAAAAAUAACUCACACAAUCAAGCUAAAGGAUUGUCUAUUAAUCAUUUUUUUUUUCCAAAGUCCUUCACUCCCAAACAUAGCUUAGACUUUUAUAUUUCAACCGCAAUAUUGCAUUGCAAAAUGCAAUUUAGAACUGCAUUAUUCCAGAUAAUGAAUGAAACAAAAAUGUUCUCUAGUGAUGUCAUAUAUAUUGUCUCUUUUGAUGAUAAGGGUUGCUUCACCUCAUCAGAAUAAUUAAGAAAACCAAAGAUUAAAAAAGAAAAAAAAAACAUAUAUAUAAUAUAUCAUCACUACUUGAGUAGAGAGUUGAAAUUAAAUACUACUACUCACAUAGGUAUUAAGUUGCCUGACAAAACUGGAGAAAUUGUUGUGCUUGAAGAAUCUAGGGAGAAGAAUAAUGGAAAAGGCUUGAGGAUCCCAAACAACAAAGCUAUUGUUCCCUGUACUCCAUGAAACUAUAUGAUUUGUGGAAGGAUCAUCAACUAUAUCAUAUGUUUUUGUGAGGAAUGGUGGAGGACCAUUUUCAUGAAGUCCUUCCCUUGGUUGAGGUUCACCAACCACAGAAAAGGAAGAACUUCCUCCUACAAAUUCCUCCUUCAUUCCACCAUGAUGAGGAUUCAUAUUCAUAAAAAGGAUCUGGUUUGGCAAGUAGGGUUUGAAUAAUGAGAACUUAAACUAAAUAGACUGAUCAUGAUUACUAAACAUAAUAGGAAAAUCAGAUCAUAUCAUGAGGGGGGGACACACAGAGAGAGUACAGAGAGAUUUAUGAUCUUUGGAAGUGUUUUUGAUUGGAAUGAUGUGAGUGAAGGAACAUGAAGCAGGUACAUGCUGUCUUGAGUUUUGUUCAAUUCAUUUAUAAAAUAGUUGUUAUGUUAUGUUAUAUGCCAUUGUUCUUGUGUUUUUUUCCCCUUUUCUUUAUAGAUGGCGAAAUAUAUUAUUAUAUAGGUCAAGUGACUAAUGGGGAAGGUAAAGUACAAGACAAAUCUAAGAUGUCGACUAGAUAUUUUUCUCCCUCCUCUCUCUUAUUUCUCUUUUGGGAAAGCCGUUGCAUUGCACUUCCAUACUUCUAUUACUUCAUUUUAUUUUAUUUUCUUGAAACCGUCGGUAAAACCUUUUGUUCAUUAAGUUCACACUACAUAAUUAUUUUUUUAUGAGAUAAAGUUUAGGGUUUAGGUGGUUGAGUUUCGGAAAUUCAUCAAAGUCAAAACAGACUUCAAGACUUAAAGACAUUGACAGUUUGUACGACAAAAAAAUCAUCAAAACAGUCAUGAAAGUUGAACUCACAACUUUAUCGGUGAGUUAAUUUCUUACCGAUUAGUCCAUAUCCUUUUUAAUUAUUGGUGCAAUCUCUACUUUGUACUUCACAUAUUAAUUUAUAAUUCCUUUUCGGUCUUUUUUAAUGAAAAAGUGAUAACUUUGUCUGUUGUCAAGGACCGAGUAAUGAAAAGCUACAGAUGAGGACUUGUGCUUGAGAAAAUCUAAUUCAGAUGGUCCUUAAAAAACAUACUUUUUUUUUACAACAAAACAUACAUUUUAUUUCAACAUCAACAUACAAAUAUAUUUAACAGAAGAGUUAGAUGAUUGACACAAAAGUUGUAAAAAAUAUAUAUAAUUUAUCUGGUCUCACUUAUUUUCUUUUAUCUUCUAUAUAUAAGUGAUUAUAAAUUACACGCAAAAGUUAAUAUAAGAUAUACACAAUAGAAUUUUAAAAGAUAGAUAUAUAUGGUCCAACAUUUUACAACAAAUACAUUUAACUUUUUGAAUCCAUUUUACUGAUAUUUUGAUAUAGAGGAAAUGCUAAAUUUGACUUCAAAAUUUUUAUGAGUAAUGGGAAUGUACAUGCUUGAUUAGACGACGGAUGAGAAAUGAUUUUGGUUACACAAGGCGUGGAAUAUCAAAUGGGCAUUGGUUGGCAUUGGAUCAAUGUUUGCUGUGAAAUCAUGUCGAUUUCUAAGAAAACCAAUGUAUGAAAAAAAAAAGUUGCGUUAUAUAUAUAUAUAUUUGCGUUAUAAUUGUUCUUCGUGGUUUUUCAAGAUGUAAAAAUUCUUAAGAGCGAGUGAAGGUGGGGCAGUCAAACCUUUUGGCACAAAGGAGAGAUCGAAACGUGUAUCCACAUAUGGUUAUCAUUUCAAAUUAAAUAAUAUAUUUUUGAGAGAUUAGAGGUCUUGUCAAAAUAAAAUAGAGAUUAGAGAGAUGAAACUAGAGAUAUUAAAAAAAUAAUUAUAUACUCCAAUGAAAAGAGAUGAGACUAGAAUAUGCCCGACACCAUCAAAAUUCAAAAAGCAAAAUCGCAGAUAACUGUAGUGUAGUGUCCCGUGUCCUGCUUUUUGUUUUUUCUCUGGGGUACUUAAUUUAGUUUGUUUAAUUCAAACUUUGGUAUCAAAUCACAUUUUAUUUCGCAGACUAUUAGGCAAAUUAAUGAUUAGGUGUAGUGUUUCUCACCACGCAAUUAAGAGUUGAUACCACUGAUCACCCCAUCUUCCUCACUGAACCAGUAGUUUCAUACCCAAUACUAAUUGAACCUUGUGCUUACCUAUGGCACUCUUGAAUUAAAUAACUACUCACACCUUUCUUGUUAAGACUUAGCUCGAGCUCAACUCAGAUAGAUACUAGUCUAUUAGGUGAGAUUUGGGAAAACUUAACUGAACAUUUUUAUCUACUCCCUCGAUAUUGGACGAUUUUAGUCAAAUAGAUGAGAAACUAUCAUUUAAGAAUCAUUGCCUUAAAACUUCCAAACAUUGCCUUAAAGCACGUCAAAAUGAAAAAUCAAGCAAAAAUGAAUACAUUCAAAUUGCUUAAUGGUAUUCCUAUGGUUCCAAUGCUGUAAGUAAGAAUCAUUAUAUUUUGACAGAAAUUUCUAGAAGAGAAUUGUUUUAGUACAAGGGUUCCUACUUUCUACAGCUGCAGCUGUAGAUGAUCCAUGCCUAUUUCCUACUCAAUUCGGCAGUAUUCAGCGGACUACAUUAUGGGCUUUCCUCGAGUCCCAGUUUAGUAUUGGCCUCUACUUAAUCAAAGAACACAUUGAGUAGGACUCAUAACCAUUACAAGGGACAACUAAUUGACCAAAAAACUCGAAUUAGAAAACAUUAACAGUCUAUUGAUGUAUAUGUUUUAUUCUGUCUGCAAUUCUGAUAACAAUAUUGCAAAUACAAUUAUUUUACAACACAGGCAACAAACACAAUGGCAUGGAUAUAUAUAUAUAUAUAUAUAACAUUGAGGGUUCAAAGGGUAACUUGCAUACCACAACAUAAAAGAACGGGUUUCUUUCUUUGUUUUACAGAUCAUUAUUUAUUUCUCAAACUUGGUUAAAGUAUCAAAGCCUUGGUCCUUUUUAUCCCAUGCUACAAUCAGGCAGAAUCAAUCUUAAGCAGUGGCGUCAACAGCAUGGCUAGCAACAUCCUUCUCCACAAAAGUCUUGAUAUAUUGCCCUCUGCGCAUUAAAAUCGCAAUAUGAGGUUCGACAUAAAUUCUCUGAUUGUCCCAUAUGCUACCUAAUUACUAAACUGGUUAAAUCAUACCUAGCAGGAAGAUGAUCAUGUGGGCGAUUGUAUGGAGUCCAAAUUGGUUCACCAACAAAAAAUCGCAAUGCCUGUAUAAUUACAAUCAUGUAAGAAACACAUAUGAAGUAGACUAAUCUCAGCAAAUGUUAAGAUAAAGAAAGAAGUUGAAAAUGCAUAUCAACAACUAAAAGAUAACAAAAAUAGGCUUGCAAUAUGUCACAUCACAAGUUACACCUUCAUCUUAACAUAUAUUCAAGAAUGCAACUAACCAAAAUCAUUGCAAUCACAUC
RNAcentral lists this long non-coding RNA (20143 nucleotides) under Medicago truncatula (barrel medic). Its description in RNAcentral is "long non-coding RNA (MTRU_LNC007776)". The record is from RNAcentral. Lineage: Eukaryota; Viridiplantae; Streptophyta; Magnoliopsida; Fabales; Fabaceae.